AGGUGAAACCGCGAAUGGCUCAUUAAAUCACACCUAAUCUACAGGAUAAUUCAAGUUACUUGGAUAACUGCGGUAAUUCUGGAGCUAAUACAUGCUACAAACUCCGAACUUACGUGAGGAGUGCUUUUAUUAGAUCAAAACCAAACGGCUUCGGCUGUACUCUUGGUGACUCUGAAUAACUUUUGGCAGAUCGUAUAGCCUUGCGCUGGCGACAUAUCCUUCGAAGGUGUGCCCUAUCAACUGUCGACUGUGGCAUAGACGCCCACAGUGGUUUUGACGGGUAACGGGGAAUCAGGGUUCGAUUCCGGAGAGGGAGCCUUAAAAACGGCUACCACAUCUAAGGAAGGCAGCAGGCACGCAAAUUACCCAAUGAACGAAGUUCGAGGUAGUGACGAAAAAUAACGAUAGCGGACUCAUCCGAGGCCCGCUAAUUGGAAUGAGUACACUUUAAAACCGUCCCCGAGGAUCCA
RNAcentral lists this ribosomal RNA (470 nucleotides) under Calocalanus pavo. RNAcentral describes it as "SSU rRNA". It matches the Rfam family "Eukaryotic small subunit ribosomal RNA", at positions 79 to 547 of the family's 1831-position model. Lineage: Eukaryota; Metazoa; Arthropoda; Copepoda; Calanoida; Calocalanidae. The record is from RNAcentral.